RNAcentral lists this ribosomal RNA (464 nucleotides) under Vreelandella stevensii. Its description in RNAcentral is "partial 16S ribosomal RNA". It matches the Rfam family "Bacterial small subunit ribosomal RNA", at positions 338 to 795 of the family's 1533-position model. Lineage: Bacteria; Pseudomonadati; Pseudomonadota; Gammaproteobacteria; Oceanospirillales; Halomonadaceae. The record is from RNAcentral.
CCUACGGGCGGCAGCAGUGGGGAAUAUUGGACAAUGGGCGAAAGCCUGAUCCAGCCAUGCCGCGUGUGUGAAGAAGGCCUUCGGGUUGUAAAGCACUUUCAGUGGGGAAGAAAGCCUUGGGGCUAAUACCCUCGAGGAAGGACAUCACCCACAGAAGAAGCACCGGCUAACUCCGUGCCAGCAGCCGCGGUAAUACGGAGGGUGCGAGCGUUAAUCGGAAUUACUGGGCGUAAAGCGCGCGUAGGCGGUCUGAUAAGCCGGUUGUGAAAGCCCCGGGCUCAACCUGGGAACGGCAUCCGGAACUGUCAGGCUAGAGUGCAGGAGAGGAAGGUAGAAUUCCCGGUGUAGCGGUGAAAUGCGUAGAGAUCGGGAGGAAUACCAGUGGCGAAGGCGGCCUCCGGGAUUGACACGGACGCUGAGGUGCGAAAGCGUGGGUAGAAAACAGGAUGAAUACCCCAGUAGUC